This 109-nucleotide ribosomal RNA is filed under the name Acanthosepion pharaonis. The record is from RNAcentral. Lineage: Eukaryota; Metazoa; Mollusca; Cephalopoda; Sepiida; Sepiidae.
UUAUGGCCAUAUCAUGUUGAAAUAUCGGUUCCCAUACGAUCACCCAAGUUAAGCAAUGUUGAGCUUGAUCAGUACCUAGAUGGGUGACUGCUUGGGAAUACCAGGCACU